Long non-coding RNA from Suricata suricatta (meerkat), 672 nucleotides. RefSeq lists it as uncharacterized. The transcript is spliced from 3 exons. NCBI's taxonomy places the organism in Eukaryota, Metazoa, Chordata, Mammalia, Carnivora, Herpestidae. The record is from RefSeq and is a predicted model, not a curated record.
GGGCAGCACAGGGCCCCGCAGGCAUGGAGCCGGGGGCGGCGGGCUGUGUACCUCUGCGGAGCAUGUGCUCCCCUUGCAGCAGCUGCACGAUGGCCGUCUGGGUGGCGGGCACGAUGACGAUGCUUCCGUCCUCGCGGCCGCAAACGAGGCGACCGUGCGCCGCACAUCACACCCUCUACAGACUGUGAUCGAGAGAAGACAUGAUAGAAAACCUGAAUUCAUAAGCUUUGUGGAAGAAGCAGCCAUAGCUCCGUGACAGCAUAAAUCACUUUGUGAGCAGAGACACUGCAAAGCAGAAAAAAGAAGAGCCCUUAAGGAAGACAGCCAAAUAAAUAACUUGAAUGCAAGAACAGAAGGUAACCGGCGCACUCUAUCAAUCUGUUAUCAUUGACAUAUAUUAACUACCAACAUUCAGAAAGAAAUAUGUAUGUGCAAAACGCGAGUAUAUCUUCAGUGAGCUUGAAAGGUCAUAAAUUACAAUUGCUAAGCUGAACAGGAAACACUGGUGAAAAGAAGCCAUGAAGUUCCAGUAAUUUUCUACUCUAAAAGAGCUGACAGAAUAAACGUUGGCACUUGAGAAAUUUUCUCGGCCCUAAAUUAACUACUGCCCUAACUUUCUAUUAUUCCAUCAUUUUCUGACUCCCAUUAACCCAGGCAACAAUAAGCCAAAAC